AUUGAACGCUGGCGGCAUGCCUUACACAUGCAAGUCGAACGGCAGCAUGGAAGAGCUUGCUCUUCUGAUGGCGAGUGGCGAACGGGUGAGUAAAGCAUCGGAACGUACCGUGUAGUGGGGGAUAACGUAGCGAAAGUUACGCUAAUACCGCAUACGCACUGAGGUGGAAAGCAGGGGAUCGCAAGACCUUGCGCUAUACGAGCGGCUGAUUAGCUUGUUGGUAAGGUAAGAGCUUACCAAGGCGACGAUCAGUAUCUGGUUUGAGAGGACGAUCAGACACACUGGAACUGAGACACGGUCCAGACUCCUACGGGAGGCAGCAGUGGGGAAUUUUCCGCAAUGGGCGAAAGCCUGACGGAGCAAUACCGCGUGAGGGAAGAAUGCCUAUGGGUUGUAAACCUCUUUUUUCAGGGAGGAAUCAAAUGACGUGUACCUGAAGAAUAAGCAUCGGCUAACUCCGUG
This 462-nucleotide ribosomal RNA is filed under the name uncultured bacterium. Its description in RNAcentral is "bacterial SSU rRNA". It matches the Rfam family "Bacterial small subunit ribosomal RNA", at positions 30 to 507 of the family's 1533-position model. The record is from RNAcentral.